CCAAAGGCUCUUUUCAGAGCCACCACUGAUCUCGGGAUAAAGCGCU
Fukomys damarensis (Damara mole-rat) is the source of this 46-nucleotide non-coding RNA. The record is from Rfam. NCBI's taxonomy places the organism in Eukaryota, Metazoa, Chordata, Mammalia, Rodentia, Bathyergidae.